UGCAGCAUUCUGUGUGUCUAGGGUU
This 25-nucleotide unclassified non-coding RNA is filed under the name Mus musculus (house mouse). RNAcentral describes it as "oocyte_clustered_small_RNA13637". The record is from RNAcentral. Lineage: Eukaryota; Metazoa; Chordata; Mammalia; Rodentia; Muridae.